GAUGAACGCUGGCGGCGUGCCUAAUACAUGCAAGUCGAGCGGUAAGGUCUCUUCGGAGAUACACGAGCGGCGGACGGCUGAGUAACGCGUAGGAACCUACCCCAAACUGAGGGAUAAGCACCAGAAAUGGUGUCUAAUACCGCAUGUGCUCUUCGGAGUAAAGCUUCGGCGGUUUGGGAAGGGCCUGCGUCCGAUUAGCUUGUUGGUAAGGUAAUGGCUUACCAAGGCGACGAUCGGUAGCUGGUCUGAGAGGAUGAUCAGCCAGACUGG
RNAcentral lists this ribosomal RNA (270 nucleotides) under uncultured bacterium. RNAcentral's name for it is "partial 16S ribosomal RNA". It matches the Rfam family "Bacterial small subunit ribosomal RNA", at positions 28 to 316 of the family's 1533-position model. The record is from RNAcentral.